Molecule: long non-coding RNA, 744 nt
Filed under: Felis catus (domestic cat)
Lineage: Eukaryota; Metazoa; Chordata; Mammalia; Carnivora; Felidae
Description: lncRNA (ENSFCAG00000050394.1)
Source: RNAcentral
AGUUUUAACUAGCACAGAAUGGAAACUUGGCGAAUAAAAUAGUGAUAGUCCCUCCUUUUUACCAGGUUGUUAUGGGCGACUCUGAUAAGCAAAAAGGAGGCGUGGAGUAGAUGGAAGUAAAGACCCCUCCUAAACUCGAAGAAGGGAAAUGCUGUAACAAUUAAGAACACGAUAGAAUUACCAAAGGUGUGACCUGAGCCAGUGAACCAUGCCAUCAGAGUUACUGGAAGGAGGUCAGAGGUGGCCAGCUGACCACGCGAAUCCCUGCUCCCCUUCCCAUGGUGUAGAGUUGGUGCUGGAAAGUGGCCGAUGAGCCAGAGACCACAUUUCUUGGCCACCUUGGCAUUGUGUGGCCAAUGGACUAGUUCUAUUCACUGGAAUGAUACUGGACCGGACUGGGAGGAACCAUGGGAGGGUUGAUGAAGAGUGGCAAGGUAGGCAUUAAGAUAGACAAUUCUCGAAUUCAGAAGGUAUCUUACCUUAUAAUGUAACAUAUGAUAUUCAGUGUUGCUGCCUGUGCUGAGAUGAGCACCCUCAGACAGUAUUAGUGGGAUGCUCCAUUGGAUAACUUUCUGAGGGACCAUAUGGUCACAUGAAACCAACACUUUUAAAUAGUUAAUAUCUUGGGGGCACCUGCGUGGCUCAGUCCAUUGAGCAGCCAAUUUCAGCUCAGGUCGUGAUCUCACAGUCAGUGAGCUCAAGCCCCACAUCAGGCUCGCUGCUGUCAGCACAGAGCCCGCUUUG